AGUGAACGCUGGCGGUAGGCCUAACACAUGCAAGUCGAACGGCAGCACAGUAAGAGCUUGCUCUUACGGGUGGCGAGUGGCGGACGGGUGAGGAAUACAUCGGAAUCUACUUUUUCAUGGGGGAUAACGUAGGGAAACUUACGCUAAUACCGCAUACGACCUACGGGUGAAAGCAGGGGAUCUUCGGACCUUGCGCGAUUGAAUGAGCCGAUGUCGGAUUAGCUAGUUGGCGGGGUAAAGGCCCACCAAGGCGACGAUCCGUAGCUGGUCUGAGAGGAUGAUCAGCCACACUGGAACUGAGACACGGUCCAGACUCCUACGGGAGGCAGCAGUGGGGAAUAUUGGACAAUGGGCGCAAGCCUGAUCCAGCCAUACCGCGUGGGUGAAGAAGGCCUUCGGGUUGUAAAGCCCUUUUGUUGGGAAAGAGAAGCAGCAGGUUAAUACCCCACUGUUCUGACGGUACCCAAAGAAUAAGCACCGGCUAACUUCGUG
RNAcentral lists this ribosomal RNA (492 nucleotides) under uncultured bacterium. RNAcentral describes it as "partial 16S ribosomal RNA". It matches the Rfam family "Bacterial small subunit ribosomal RNA", at positions 29 to 507 of the family's 1533-position model. The record is from RNAcentral.